CCUACGGGCGGCACCAGUGGGGAAUAUUGCACAAUGGGCGCAAGCCUGAUGCAGCCAUGCCGUGUGUAUGAAGAAGGCCUUCGGGUUGUAAAGUACUUUCAGCGGGGAGGAAGGUGUUGAGGUUAAUAACCUCAGCGAUUGACGUUACCCGCAGAAGAAGCACCGGCUAACUCCGUGCCAGCAGCCGCGGUAAUACGGAGGGUGCAAGCGUUAAUCGGAAUUACUGGGCGUAAAGCGCACGCAGGCGGUCUGUCAAGUCGGAUGUGAAACCCCCGGGCUCAACCUGGGAACUGCAUUCGAAACUGGCAGGCUAGAGUCUUGUAGAGGGGGGUAGAAUUCCAGGUGUAGCGGUGAAAUGCGUAGAGAUCUGGAGGAAUACCGGUGGCGAAGGCGGCCCCCUGGACAAAGACUGACGCUCAGGUGCGAAAGCGUGGGGAGCAAACAGGAUUAGAUACCCUUGUAGUC
RNAcentral lists this ribosomal RNA (465 nucleotides) under uncultured bacterium. Its description in RNAcentral is "bacterial SSU rRNA". It matches the Rfam family "Bacterial small subunit ribosomal RNA", at positions 338 to 795 of the family's 1533-position model. The record is from RNAcentral.